UACGGGGGGGGCAAGCGUUGUUCGGAAUUACUGGGCGUAAAGGGUGCGUAGGCGGCUUUGUAAGUCAGUGGUGAAAUAUGGCAGCUCAACUGUCAGGGUGCCAUUGAUACUGCGGAGCUUGAGUACAGAUGAGGUAGGCGGAAUUGACGGUGUAGCGGUGAAAUGCUUAGAUAUCGUCAAGAACACCGAUAGCGAAGGCAGCUUACUAGGCUGUAACUGACGCUGAGGCACGAAAGUGUGGGGAUCAAACAGG
RNAcentral lists this ribosomal RNA (253 nucleotides) under uncultured bacterium. RNAcentral's name for it is "partial 16S ribosomal RNA". It matches the Rfam family "Bacterial small subunit ribosomal RNA", at positions 524 to 776 of the family's 1533-position model. The record is from RNAcentral.